AGCCGGAAAAUUCAAUUAUUUCUAAAAAUUACCAAAAUUUUCAGAUUUGAAGAUCUCAAUGAGUAGAACAACUUUCAUACCUGUGACCAAGGUCAAUUUGGCCCGGAAAGCCUCCAAUUUCAACAAAACCCGUCGGAACCCUAGAAAUGGGUGUGUUUCAAUUCGACCUCCAAAUGUGUUCCGACGCCUCCACCACUGAUUGGGCUUUGUUCCUGGGUUCUAUGGGAGUCUAUUGGUGGCAACAAUUUGCUGGAUUACCUUCACGAUCGUCGGAUUUUGUCAUGGUACCCACGGAACCCAUUGUUUCGUUCUACACGAAUUCAAGCUCAAAUCCCAUAAAAUUCGAUUGGGAAUGGAAGAGGAAAGGACUAGGGGAUGAUUGAGAAUGGUUUCUUAGUCCAAUUUCGUGAGCAAUCCGGUGGAAAACCACCGGAAAUAUGAAGAAAUGGGAAUGGGUGCACACGGGUCGCGGGUUGGGGAACCCAUUUCCCCCUUUCCCCCGCACGCCACACUCCCUCCUUUCCCUCCUUGCUUUUGCUUCUGAUUGGGCAGUCUCUCCCUUCCUCUCCACUGAUUGGGCAGUAGCCCUUCCUCUUUCCCUCUUCUUCUUCCUCUUCUCUUUUCUUCCCCCAUUUCCCGUCACAUACACACACACAGACACUUGUCCUCUUAAUUAGUAUACCAUAAUAUGAUAUAAUUAGAAAGGUUAUUUCUUCAAAAUACUUUCGAUUCGUCACUCCAAAUUCACUUCCGCUUGUGCAUACUCGUUCGUAUCGUCAAUUACCUCAAGAAUACGCUAAAAGAAUAUUUAGUACAUCUCAUAACACGCUAGUCAAUGAAAGUCAAAACCUUCGUCUCUAGGGUGUCUUCGUAAUUUCACAUUUUAAAAUUUAUAAAUUAAUAAAAUAUGGGACUGGUUGUCACACGCAAACUCUUCUUAGUCCUUGCUAGGUCUAUCUUCUAUUUUCUGUUGGAAUAUUUUUGCUCUCACCCUUAAGUGAUGGUAAUGUUCAUCACGUCAUUUAUUAUUGUUGAAUGAGCUUACUUUGUUUAACAGAUAAACACAAAUUUCAAAAUUGAAACUCAUCAAACGAUAAUAAUUAAGAUGAUGAGUAUUACUACCACUUGAGAGUAGUGAGCAAAACUGCACCCAUUUCCUAUAUGUACUAUGAAAACCAACUUCUUAAUUGGGAAAAGGAUCCUCUUUGUGGGGAUCCAAAUGAUCAAUCAAACAUCGUGCGGUUAGAAAUCAUUUUAAAUUUUAAAUUAAAUAUAAAUAGUACCUAACGAAAACUGACCACAUGAUAUACGACGAACGAACAUAAGUGAUUGAUUCCCUGGAUUCUCACAAAGAGGAUCCAUAGAGGAUCCUUUUCCUCGUAAUUGUGCUAUAUAUUUGGGGUUGACAUAUAGUAUUAUUAUAUUAUGCAUACUUAUCAUGCCACAUGCCUACCCACAUCUGCUUAUGUCAUAUCAUAUGCAUCAUCACAUCAUCAUUUUAUUUUUACAAUCCCACCUAGUUUAACAUUCUUCGGUCUACUACACUCAACUAAUUAUUAUAUUGCUUCAAUCGUCCCAUAAUUUACCGAAAUCUAACAUACGUUUCUCUUAAGAAAUUAACCAGCGACUUGUUCCUAGUUAAAACAUUUACAAAUACAACAUAAUGUUCACACACACUUAAAUUUGUAUACAAAAUGAUAGGGACACUACACUCUGUAAAUCACAACUCAAUUAUCUCUUUAUGCUCGACUUUGCAGGAUUAUUGAAGGUGGCUGGUGGGAUGGGGGGUGAAGUGUUUCACAGAGCUUUGGUGAAGUGUAGGGACCUGGGUAGCGACAAGGUGGAAGUAGAGUCUGAUGCCCUUUCUAUUAUCCAAAUGUUGAAUGGAGAGUGCUCUAUUGAUGCACGUUUGGAGUGUUUGCUAUGUGAUAUUAAAGCCUUGGCGUCUCAGAUUAGGGAG
This 1960-nucleotide long non-coding RNA is filed under the name Malus domestica (apple). RNAcentral's name for it is "long non-coding RNA (MDOM_LNC013611)". The record is from RNAcentral. Lineage: Eukaryota; Viridiplantae; Streptophyta; Magnoliopsida; Rosales; Rosaceae.